Molecule: long non-coding RNA, 392 nt
Organism: Zophobas morio
Lineage: Eukaryota; Metazoa; Arthropoda; Insecta; Coleoptera; Tenebrionidae
Exons: 2
Source: RefSeq, a predicted model, not a curated record
AACAAUAUAGAAGUCCUAGUAGUAGUGAGGACAUUCGAUGAUCCAAAAUUGGAAUUGAUAUUAAUUUUUGUGUUUCUUCUGUGGGUUGGUUUUCAUCAGUUUGAGAUACCUUAAGCAAUGUAAUACCACUGGAUAAAAUCCCUAUCCAAAAUUCCUCAAACCAGCUCAUAACCAGCUAUGAUAAUCAUGAAUGUUACCGCUGCCGCCACGUGGCCGCCACUGGACCGGCCCCCGUGAUGCUGGCGCCGCUGGCGUGGACCGGCACAGAGAGAAGAGGAACAGCUGAGCGGAACGACGUAGAAAAAAUAUGGCGUACCAGUGGUGCCCUGUAUAACUUUUGUAAUUCGGACACUUUUCUUUGAAAUAUAUUAUAGGAAAUUGAUUUUUAAUAA